Non-coding RNA from Cherax quadricarinatus, 14237 nucleotides. The record is from RefSeq and is a predicted model, not a curated record. NCBI's taxonomy places the organism in Eukaryota, Metazoa, Arthropoda, Malacostraca, Decapoda, Parastacidae.
UAUAGUACUAUGGCAUAGACAUGAAAAGGGAUAAUGAAAGAAAUCAUGAACCAAGGAACUGGAGCUUGAUCCUUGUUUUCCUUGGUUCAAAUGUGAAUGUUGCCUUCCAUUCCCAUAAGGCAUUGGGAGUUUAGCUCCCAUCCUGAUAAUGUAGUACCCAUUGGGUUUCCUCUCUUUUUCCCUCUUCCUUUCUGUAUCCUUCUUUACCCAUCCUAAUACAGGUGGAGUUGUGGACAGGGACAAACAUGUAAGUCUGUGAGAGGCAGCAUAUCAGGGAGUGGAAUAAGCCUGCAAACAUGUCCCCUACUGGUUCCCCAGUGGGUUACCCUUGGGGGUUUCCUCAAAGGGGGGUAGACCUCUCACCUACCUUGAGGGUCUAGUAAGUGGCUGGUGGGGGGGAAGAGUCUUCACCCGACAGGCCUGACUGACACACUCUUCAUAAUGCUCGGGGAUGACCCACUUUAUGUUAGCAGACAAGCAGCAGCAGCACAGCGAUCCUCACAGCAUGUAAGACUGGUGGAUCUUAUUGGGCAACCAGAAGAUCACUAACAGCCUGUAAUCAUCCUGCCAUCUUAACCAUCCUAAGUCAUUCUGUAUACCUUACCUCUGAUCAACCUGUAAUCCUACCUGCUUACACAUCCUAAGUCAUUCCAUAUAUUUUCCCUCUGAUCUCUUCCUCAUAUUCUCUUGCCCUCAUCUCUUCCUCUCUCCUUAUCAACUCUCACCCUCAUUUUUUCCCUGUGAGCAGUAAAAUUUGAAGUUUUUUGAGAGAAAUGCUGUGAAUAGACUUUUGUGAUUAAAUUCUAAUUUUCAUUACAGGAUUGUAUGGACAAGAAGUGAGGAUCCAAAGAGGUGACUGCAUAGUAAAAUAAAAACUUCAGUGCAUAGUCAAAAACAAAGAGUUUCCUGCAGAGUUUUGUGCUUCUCCAUGCUGUUCCCAUUAUUUUAAUACUAUAGAAGAGGCCAAAGAAGCUCCAGCAGUCAAAAGUGCCAUUCUACCAAGAUAUUAUCAUCAGUACUACCAACCCGCUAUCUGGAAGUCGAAGCACACCUGUUGUGCAUUCCACAGUGUACUGCACAUGUGUGCUUUGUUGCACAAUCUCUACAUAUCAGACCCCAUCCUGCAGUAUUCUCCAACCACAGCCCUACCCUGCAAUAUGCUCCAACCACAGCCCUACCCUGGAGUAUUCUCCAACCACAGCCCUACCCUGGAGUAUUCUCCAACCACAGCCCCAGCGUACAGUAUUCUUCACCAGCUUGCCUUUCUUAUAUGUCGACGUCCGAGAGUCGGCGAUCGGGGAAGCAUUACUACAAGCGUCUGAAAGGCAGUGUUUGCAGCCUAUAGCAUAUUAGUGAGCCAAGUAUUGGACCCAUCGAUGGGCCUGCUCCACCAUCGAAAAGGAAGUCCUAGUUAGCCCUGAUACUUGUGCUGGAGCAUUUGAUUUUUUUUUUUUUUUGGGGGGGGGGCAGUCAUCUUGUGUGGUUGCCAUCUACAGUGAUCACAACCCUCUCACCCGUACGAGUGCCACGAAGAAUCACAACGACCAACGAGGUAGUCUCAGGCCGCAACCACACGAUCCUCCGAGACCUUGCCUCUCGAGCGAGAGAGCACGGCCACUAGUGCUCUGGUGGUUGAAUAUUGGGAGAACACUCGAGCGUCGUGCCAUUUUAAUGGGUAGGUCCUUCGGCAGGCGAGUCGUCACGCACUCUCCAUCAGACUCCAACUUCCACAGUCACCGAUUUGAGGUAUCCACUCUCAGGGGUACCGAGGGCUCAUCGUUCCCUCUCGAGAACUCUGAUACUUUCGGAGCACAACCUCGGGCCAGACUCGUCUGGUGCUUGUCCGGUUAACGAGGCUGUUGCUGCUGGAGGCCCACUGUCCGACAGCCUGGUUGUUAUAGGACCUAGUGAAGAUGAUACUUGUCCAAUUUUGUGUUGAAGACUUGUAGACCUGUUCUGGCAGUGGUAAGAGGUUGAAUAGUCUUGUUGAUACUACAGUGUUGCCUUAAAUGUUUUACUGGCUCUAUGUGGGCUAUAAACGAUCUCUCUAUUUGUUCAAGGCCAUAUAUUUCUCGUGCUUUGAACGGGGCCGUCAGUACUGGCCACUAGUGAUUUGAAGUGUCACCAUUGUUAUUGUUUCCCUUGUUUUGAAAGGUCUUAAUACCCACCCCAUCAUCCUUCUCCUCCUCCUCCGGGCUGUUGUUAUCUACUGCGGCCAGCAGUAACAGCCCGGUCUGAGACUGGGCCUUAGGGGGCGUUGACCCUUGAAACCCUCUGCAGAUAUGUUGCUAUUGUUAGUAAGGUAACUAACUUAAUUAUUUCCAAGUCUUUGACCUGUUGUUUUUGUUCUAUUUGGUGAUCCUCUUGAGUUUUUUGUUCUUUCUAUACCUAAGCAGCAGGAACUUACCACCAUUGAAUGUUAUAUUGUUGUUUUUCACUGUAAUUUUUCAGUGACUAUCAUUCUUAUUUUAGUGUCAUUUGCAAAGGAAACAAAACUAUGCCGGGUGUUUUUAUGUAUGCUAUGAGGAUGAGAAACAGCAGAGGUACCAGAACAGUAAUUUGGGGAAUUGAGUUUUUUACCUUGUUGUUGCUGUUUACUGUGUUGUGUGUUAGGAACUUGAAAAUCCACCUUCUUACCUUCCUUGUAGUGCCUGUGGCCCUCUAUUUUGUGAACUAUUACUCCAUGAUGACAUUUGUGAAGAAACACUUUUGCAAAAUCUGUGCAUAUCACAUUUGCACUUUGGUCAUCUUGUAACAUGUUUGUGAUUCUGUCAUAGUGGUUCAGGAGCUGUGACAGGUAUGAUUGUCCUGCUCAAACACCAGUGGUGUGGGUUAUGCCGGUCCAAGAAAUUUGUAAUCUGCUGUCUCAUCACUUUUUUGAAUAUUUUUUUGAUGUAAUAUUUAGCUAGUGAUGUAUUACUUGCCUUAUGCGAAGGAGCUGUCUGCGCUCUUUAAGGUCUGUGGUAUUUCACCUAGAUGUAGGCUCUUUCUCCAAAGAAUACCGAGGGCUCAUGCUUGUGGUACCUUGCAUUUGUUUAUAAAUAGAGGAUUCCCUGAAUCUUGUCCAGGUGCUGAGUGGGCAUUUUUUUUUUUUAAUCUAUGGGAUUUGUACUAAUAUCAGUUGGUGUGUGCAGCCUUGUGAUGGAGUGAAAAAUGUUUCUUGCUGUCAUUUACUGGGUUGCUGAACACCGACUGAUAUUGUUCUCUUAGAAUUUCACUCAUUUUCUGUUCAUCGUCCGUAUACGAGUCUCGUCGAUUACGGUCGAAUUCUAUAGGCAAUUGUUUGAUUUUGCAUACUAGUAGAAAUAUUUUGGGCAUCUCGCAAUAUGGCCUUUUGUUGUUUUUGUACUCGGGUGCGAUAUCCCAAGUUGUUUUCUAUUGUACCAUCUCGUACGCUGUAUCUGAUCUGGGUUUCCUCAACGGUACGUGUUUAAUACAGACCUAGUAUUGAGCUUGUCCGGGCACUGGUGAGGAUUUAGUGCAUUCGUGUCUGAUAGUUCUUGGUUUAUUUUUUUUCCAGUUAUUUCUAUGGUUGUUGAAAUUGAACUUGCUCAAGAUAUUGCAGUUCCCACACCCUGAGUUAAUACUUGUUUGUUAUGCUCAGAGUAUAUUGUUAUUGUAAUUGUCUUUGAUUAGUUUUUUGUUUGUGAAUAUCAAAUCCAUUUCUGGUGGGAUUGUUUAUCUGUUGGUUCAAUGUGUACUUUUCACAAAGCUUCAGUUUGUGCCUGUUGAGCCAGGGUGCUUUUCCCUGAGAUAUUUCAGGUAUAACAUUGUGUUGUGCCAUUUUACACGAGGGAGAUUAAAAUAGCCAGAUAGCAGUUGCUGGCAGUGGUUUAUAUAAUAAGAUAAUUCAUACUAUGGAAUAAAUACUUUUCUCCAGGCUGAGGGACUGACCCCCUCAAAACUACAGAGGCCAAACAUUUUGGAAUAAAGAUAGUAUCUAACUUUUGCAUAUGUGUCUGUCUUACUUAGCAACCUGGGCUAUUCAGGUUGGCUAACCUUUCUAUCCCCGAGUAACCCUACCCUGGUUGUGGGCAUUCCUUAAAUUUUCCAAUCUACCCGCGGAGCAGCGGAUGCGGAGGUAGAGACGACAUCGGAAAUGCGUCCGGCAGUGUCUCGCGCGGGCGAGUCAGAGAUGACUGCCGUGACGAACUCUAGAGAAUAUCUGCCGAGUCGGAGAGGAUUGUUCCUCGAGGAACUGGCGUGGGUCACAUCCUGGGCAUUAGUGGAGUGGUGUGGGUAACAUCCUUGUCAGAUAAUCAAAUGGAGCAGCACUCGAAGAGCCUCCCGGAAUGAAUUAAGGUCGUACGUUUAUUUAUUUAUUUAUUUAUUAAUUUGAACAUGAUACAGAGAAGUACAAAAGAAUACAGUUAAAUGCAGCAUGCCAAAGCCACUUGAAUGCAUAGCAUUACGGGCAGGCUUAAAAUUAACUUAAGAUUAACUAAGCAAUGAAGUAUUCAGUGGUAAAACAUUAUUGUAAACAGAUAACAAUUAAGCACAAAUGAGUAUUACAAAAACAGGUCGUAUGGUUGCAUGCAAUGCUGUACAAUCAGUAUUUAUUUAUUUAUUUAUGGGCAGCUUAAAAUUAAUUUAAGAUUAACUGAGCAAUGAUAUAUUCAGUGGUACAAAAAUUAUUGUAAAACAGAUAACAAUUUAGUACAAAUGAGUAUUACAAAGACAGGUUAUAUGGUCAUUUACUGUGUUGCUGUGUAAUCAGUAGAAUGGAGUAUUCUGUUAGGUAAUGAAGUUAAAUAGUAACAAAGUUUGAUUGGGUCACAGGUUGACAUUUAUGAGAUAAAAUAAUGGGAUACAUAUAUAAGAUACAAUUUAUGAGAUACAAUUAUUCAGUAUUUAUUUAGUUGUGGGUGAGUAAGUGAUUUUUGAGAAGAGACUUGAAUUUAUAAACAGAUAAUGUUUCUUUUAUAUUCACAGGUAAUGAAUUCAAGAUUUUAGGGCCUUUUAUGUGCAUUGAGUUUUUGCAUAGCGUGCGAUGGACACGAGGAACAUCAAAGAGUGAUCUGUGCCUUGUGUUAUGGUCAUGUGUUCUGUUGAGGUUGGUAAGGAGAUGUUUGAGGGGAGGGUUUAUGUCAGAGUUAAGUGUUCUAUGUAUGUAGUAGGUGCAGUAAUAAGUAUGGAUGUUUUGAAUUGUGAGUAGGUUUAGAGUUUUGAAUAUUGGUGGAGUGUGUUGUCUGUAGUGGGAAUUUUUUAUCAUUCUGAUUACAGCCUUUUGUUGGGUGAUUAGUGGUCUGAGAUGUUUUAUUAUUGCUGAAGUUGCAUCGUACGCGUACGAGUGUCGCGUCGACGACUAUCGAAUACUCGUGUUGGAAGCCACUGGAUUUGACCUCUCGACUUGUUCCAGGACAAGAGCUGGUGAGAAAACUUGAGACAAUUUGGUGCUACAGCCUUUAUGAAAUUGUACCUGAUGGUUGGAACACUUUAGUCUUUACGGAAAUUGAAGUACACGAGUUUUGCAGCCUCAACGAAGUUUUACGCGACUCUGGAAACACUCGAGUCUUGCUGAAACUGGUUGUAGGAGGAGUCUUGCAUAGCAAGUUGCACAUGCAGUAACCUUUUCUUGUGAGCUGACCCCUUACAGGAAACAUUUAUCCGUGUGUUAGGCAUCUUUGUGGGAUAUGUUUGCUUUAGUAAUAGGUGCUAUGUGGUGACUAGUAUAACGUAAGUUUAUAUUAUUUUGUUUAAUUAAUUUGUGUGCAUGUAAUGUAUUUAUUACAUCCCUAAGCAAACACUAUUAUGAUGAUUUGGCACUUGUAGAUUCAUUAAAGAAAACCUCCUGUAUUCUUACUGAAAUGUGGCUUAAGACACAAUAGACAUUUGCAGUAUCAUGUAGCAACACUAUAUGUAUCAGUGAUGAAUAUGGUGAAUAGUAUAUAUUUGCAAAUUUGUCUGUAAAAAAAAAAAUCCUAUAGCUGUUGAGGUCAUAUACAGGAUGUCUCGUACUAAUAUAUCAGCUUUUAGUGCUAAGCUAAGAACACUGAUUACAGGUACACAAUUGAAUAAGCACCAACCAAUAGCAGGAGACUUUAACAAGUUUGGCCUAACAAACAGAUGACCAACCUGUGUCUGACUUGAUUAACAAUACACUAUAUUGUAAACAAAAUGCAUAGAGUACAUAACAAAUGUUUUAUCCCAUAAAAACUAAACAGAUGACUAACAAAAGAGUAAGUAAGUUGCCCAUGGCUUACUAAGAGCAUCGCUAGAUCCAUCACGAAAGACAAUACAGAAGGGGCUCAAAGAGUUUAUCAAACAGCGUAGUACGUCGGUCCUCACCAAAUUACUCGGUCUAAGCAGCCGUACUAUUGCAAUUCACCGAAAGGCGAGGAGAUAGAUAUUAAAAAGAUGUGGAAGAUACGCGAUGAGAUCGUGGGUACCCUCAAACCAAACAGAGCUAGUGUUAUUGUACUAAUUAAGCCAAAUGAACUGAAACUUGAGCCUAUUGAUACAGCUAACAAUAUAAAUGAUUUGUUUCCAACUAUAAGAUGAAAUCUCUGUAGUAAAAUUCCAAUUAGCAAUGCCUGAUGUUAUGAUUAUCUAGAUGGAAAGUUGCCAAUAUCCCUUUAUCUUACAUGAACAGAUCUUACUGAGGUUACCAUGUUUAUUAGCUAAAAAAAAUAGGGAAAUGUAACCAGUAGUGUGCAAAUGAGUGACUUGAAUCUUUUCACCCAUCAUUGUAUUACUCUUGAACAAACCAGAAUAUUGACAUGAUAUAUGAUUGUACAGAGGAAUAUAAUAGUUGGGUAUACAUGGCAACAGCUCCUUUAGUAUGCAGAGCAAAACUUGAAAAUUGUUAACUUAAUAAGAUUGGGAAAGCAAUAAUGGUUCAUUAUGGUCAUUAGAUACAUUAAAUUGGGUACAAGAGAAUUGAAUUUUGUUAGGUAAUGCUACAUGGCUUUGAUAAGUCUAGUAGAGAAUAAUUGCAUUAUGGUCUGGUAUUUGUGAAUGGGGCUCAAGACAGAAAUUACUUUAAGCCUUUAAUAACCCAGAAAAAAGGUGUGGGGCAAUUGAUUACUACUACUAAUUUGUGCAUUAGACAACACACACUACUUGUUUUCAAGAGUCUUAACUUGCUAAAUAUACAAAGCGUCCACAAUUAUUGUCUGCUGCCUACCCAGAGCACUAUAUUGUGAUGUAAAUCCUUGUCUUGCUCAAAGUCCUCCUCGAUGACUAUAACAGAACACAACCAUAAUACGAGACACAGAUCACCCUUCGAUAUCCCUAGUGUUCAUUUGUCCCCGUGCCAAAAUGUUUGUUUGUCGUGCACGUAAAAGGCCCACAGACGUGGAAUUCGUAGCCGGAACACGGCAGAGGAUCACCGUCUGGUAACGAGUUUAAGGCCCAAAUAAGAAAACACGUUAUAACUGAAAAUGAACCAGACAAACCAUACCUAAUCACUAGCAGUUUCUCAAAAGCUACUCAUAUUGUGCUGAUGAAUGCUCAACCACUUGGUACUGCGAAAUUAGCAUGUUUAUUUUUCUAUUAUUGUAAAUAGUAGAAUGUAAUACAGUAUACCAUAAUGUAAAUUGUUCCACAGUAAUACAGAAUUUUAUUGUUUUAAAUACGUAGUACUAAAGUGUAAUUCAUGAUUGUAAAUUGUUCCAUUGUAAUAAUGUAAUCUUUAUUAAGUAACUGAAUAGUGUCACAAGUCUCUACUAGAUUUAUCCAAAGCGUGUAGCAUUACCUGACAAUAUGCAGUUGUACUUUACUGACUGUAACUCUUGUAAUGAGUAUAUGAAGUGUGUAUUAUUGUCUUAGUAAUAUUAAGUUAAUUUCUAAGUUUGCCUGAAAUGGUCUUGUGCAUACAAAUGGGAUUUUGGCAUGUAUGUGUUUGUACAUCAGUGUAAUUUGUCAAAAUAAACAUGUUUAUCUUUGCAAUAGAAGAAUUGAAAACAGUUUACAGUAUGAUGUAGAUAUUACAAUUUAGUAGUGUUGAAAACAAUGAAAUUUAGGCAAUUAUCUAAUAUUGUAGUAGGUAAGUGGUUGAGCAAUCCUCAGGACAAUGGGAGUAGCAGCAGCAGCAGCUUUUGAGUAACUGGUGGGUAUUAGGUAUGGUUUGUGUGGUUAAUUUUGGGUGAUGAUGUGAUUUUUUAGUAUGGCCUGAAACUGACUGGUAGACAGGGGUCGUUUAUUUUAUUAACACGCUGGCCGAUUCCCAGCAAGGCAGGGUGGCUCGAAGAAGAAAAAGUUUAAUCAUCAUCGACUGGAUGAAUGUCUUGCAGGAGCGGUGCUUUACACUACAGUUUAUAAAACUGUGACAUUAAUUAAGGGAGGGGUGAGUUUUUUCAGUGAUCAGGACAUUAAAAUUGAAAGAAUAUGGAAAAUGAUGUUUUGCUAGUGAAAAAUGUUGCCAACAUUUUGAUGUAAUCAGCUUGUUUGUAUGAUAUUUCUAAGCAUGUUUUUCAUUAAAUGUAUUUUUUUUGUUUUUGCCAUCAACAAAAAUACAUGUUUGCAAAUAUCAAUUUCUUGUUUGUUCUUCCGAAAAUUACGAUUUCUAUGAUUAUUUCAUUGUAAAUAUUGUACAUGGCAACUUGUGUGCAGAUAGCAGACAGACAGACAGACAGACAUAGAGUGAGUCUGUUAGUAGGUGGGAGGCUGUAAAGAAGGUUGGAGGGGUGUAGCACACACAGUUGGUGUGCCACUUGCUUAGAGUAAAAAAAAAAAAACUGGGUAAUAAAUUAUUGACAUUGUAAUUCAUCUUGAGUGGUAAGUAUUCAUUGGAUUGCCAUGACCUUUCUUUCAGAUGUUAUUGAGGAAUGAUGGUUCUACAAACAACCUGAGAGGAUUUGCGAUAUUGUUAAGAUUUUUUUAAUGAAUUUUUCCUCUUACCUCCAAGAAAGAACAACUUGAACAUUAUUUUUUUUAUGGAAUGUACUGAUAUUGUUGGUAAACUGUCCUGGGUUGUUAAUGUAGCCUUUAUGUUUCAUCUGAGGUUAACUAGAAUAUUGUACAUUUUCAGAAUUUAGUAGAAAGAGGAAAGUGUUAGGACCUAUGAAAUUGUGCAUAAUUUGUUUUUUUUAUCUAACUUGAAGGGUAAUAGUCAAAACAAACACAGGUUAUAUGUUUUUUUAUGCUGUUUAAUGCACUGUCAAAAUUUCAUUGAAUUAGGACUCUCCCCCCCCCCCAAAAAAAAAAAAAAUUAUUUUACUCGUCCCUCCCCUAACACCCCUCCUUUAGAGUACAGACACUGUACUUGCCAUCUGCCAGUCUGGCCUGCCAGUUUCCCUGAAUCCUUUUGUAAAUGUUAGUUUGCUCAUGCUAUAACAGCAUGUUUGUCUCCAUUCACUCGUAUCAAAUAUGGUCACGAAUGCUUGCUGGAAGUCCAAGCCCCUUGCACACACAACUUCCUUUAUACUGUCCCUCUAUCCUUUCCUAGGGUAACUCGUACCUCGUUUUCCCUCCACUACAGAUUUAUAGACUGUAGAAGUCAGUUUUGUUUCAUUCUCUCAUGUCCAAACCAUGUCAACAACUCUUUUUGAGCCCUGUGGACAAGAGUUUUAGCAAUCCUGCACUUGCUGUUAAGUAACUUGCAAACUAUGAAUUGUUUGUAUUAUAUUCACACCACACGUGUGGGGGGGGGGUGGAGCACACGUUGGUCUGCAGAGGCUACGUGGCCAGUCUGGAUAGAACUUGUGUAACACAGGGAAUUUGAGUUGGGUGCGUACAGACCUUUGAUGUGGGGUUUUCAGACUACCGUGCAGUGCUAGCGGAUAUGGACUUUGAUGGAAUGAUACGGAUUUAUCCCGGUUAUUGGAAAGUGAAUGUGUGGCUUUUGGAUGGGGAGGGGGAUUGGUGCACUUUUCAGGAUUGGUGGAAGGAUCUUAGGGAAAUGUGGAGGGAAGGUGAAUGUUUGUUGGAAUGGUGGGAAAUUCACGCCAGACCUGGGAUAGAGAGUUAUUAUAGGAAUUGGGGUAAGGAGGAGGUGAGGUGGAGGUAUAGGUUACAAAAUGAUUUGGAGGGGCAACUGAACUAUUAUUAUUUUUGGGCGGAAGUAGUAGGUACGAAGACAUUGAACAUAUUUGCAAUGGACUUUCCGAAAUUCACAAGGAGCGUUUCAGUGCGGUAAGAAUCAGGGCGGGCAUGGAAGAGGUGCUAUGGGUUAUGUCCUGUGGAAAUUUUGGGUUAGACAACAGGCAACAUUCCUCUUGCGUUUGGAAGUAUGCACGGGUUUGGGUGGAUACCUGCCCGGUCAGUUACUCUUUAAUAUGGACAGCAUGAGAUUUUAUACUGAUGAUUGGUUUGAGGAAAAGCUCUGGUGGAGAGGAGCGGGGUCCAUGAGGAUGGUCUGAUGGGGGGGGGGGUUCAGAAAGGUUAUAUGUGAAAGGGAUUGGAGGGUACUAGAAGGCAGGAUUCGUGUGGAGUAGGUUGAGGAGGCGAUAUUUAGGACGAGUAGAGGGAAAUCACCAGGUAUAGAUGGCAUAUUGAAUGAAUUUUGUAGGAUGCAUUGGGGAAGCAUUAAGGAAUGGUUGGUUGAGGUAUUGAAUUACAUGCUCAGGGAGGGAAGCGGUCUGAGUGCAUAUAGGGCUAUAUCUCUUAUGUGCUCAGACAAAAAUAUUUGCAAAAGUCGUAGGUAACAGGAUGAGAAAAGUUAUGGAAUUAUUCAUAGGGGACAGGUGGGCAUACCAGGUAGGAGCAUGAGGGAAGGACAUUGGUGUGUUAGGGAGUUUUUGGGGGUGUCAAGGGGGGGGUGUCCUUGGGUUUUACUGGGAAAAUGUUUGAGUGUUGGCAUGUAUUUAUUAAGGCAGCGUUUUGGGGAGGGGAUAGUAUGAUGGGUUGACAGUUUGUAUGCCUCAGCAAUGGUACGAGUACAGGUGAAUGGUAAGUUAGGGCAGCCUGUACACGUAUGGAAUGUGGUUUGAGGCAAGGGGGGGGGGCUUUGUCUCAGCUGUUUUCUGCCUGUGUGCAAAAUCCAUUUUAUGAACUGGUGGAUGGUGGUUUUGGGUGUGGGGUACUGGGUAGUAACCGUGCAGCGAGUGUAGUGGACGGUAUCACGAUUUUGUUAAAAGAGGAGGAGGAAUUGCAGAUUGUGGGUAGGGGGAUUGUUGAGUUUUUUGGGGCAGUGACUGGUAUGUGCAUUAACAGGUUGAAAUCAAAAUUAUUUGAGGUGGGUACGUGGGUGUGGGGGGGGGGCGAAAGGUAUGGGUGGUCAGUCGUGGAGCAACUUAAAAUAUGUGGGAUCGUGUACAUGGCGGAAGAGAGGGAGGGUUGAAGGAUAAAUUUUGAAUUGGUGUUAAAAAGGGCUUUAGACCAUCUCUGAGGAUUAAGAGGUGGGGAUGUCUCCUUGCAACAGAGGGCAGUGGUGGUUAACUGUCUUGAUUACAAUAAGGUAUGGGGAGUGGGUAUACUCAUUACGGGACGUGGAUAUUGAGGAGUUGCAGAGAAGGGUCUUAGGUUAUGUUUGGGGUUACGGGAGAGCUUGGUUGAGUAGGGAGGUUUGUCAUGACACACGUACGUCUUGGGGGUUUAGGUCUCGGCAUUGGGGUCAAGGGCGAAGGCCCUAUGUGUAAAGCAGCGGUUCGUUAGGGAGGGCGGGGAGAGGGGAGUCCGAGUGGGUCGGGUAAUGGUAUAUAUAUAGUAUACGCAAAUGGUGGAGUGGCAGAGGAUUAAUAGAGUGCGAGGACAUGUUGCGUUUGUUGUUGAAGUUGAAAAAUGUUGAAAGGAUCAGGGCGUGGCAAAUGGUGUGGAUAUGUUGCCAUAGGGAAAUUGUGCAGGGGGUGUCUGUGUAUUUGUGUUGUAUAAUUGGGUGGAAAUAUGGGAGGGUUUUUUGUAAGCUCAAGUUGGCACCGAGGCUUUGCGAAUUAUUGUACAGAUUUAUCGUGGGAAUUUUAGCAUAAAAAUGGGUUUUAAGGAGGACGAGUUUGGUAAGGGAGGCAAAUUGUUUACGUUGCGGUGUAGAAGAAAUUUUUUUUUUUUUUUUUGUGAAACAUUGGAAGAGGUUUGUACGUGGUUGGGGAGGGUUUCAGUAUUUCUUAGUAGGGGAAGUAUCUCAACUGUACGGUGUCUUAACCUUGGAAGUUAGAGGAGUGUCAAGGGAGGUAAGAAGAGCAAUACUGUACGUGGUGACUGAUUUCCUACAUAUCUCAUGGGGUAUGAGGGAAACCGAGGGAGCAGUUAGAGUUAAGGUGGUUGUAGUGGGUAUUUAUAGAACAUGUUGUAGGAAUAGACUUCUUUAUGGUGGGAGGUGGGGUACUGUUUUCCCUGCAAGCUAUAGGAGUCUUACAGUACAGCGGUUACUGCAACUGAGGCGGGUAAGGCAGCGAGGGGUUGGACUCGUCCCUUGGUAAUACCCUGAGGUAUGUUAGGAACGUUAAGGUGAAAGGCGGGAGUUAAUAAGUUGCAUGUUUUGUAGUUAUGGUAAGUUAGUUACGUGCGCUUGAGAGUGUAUAGAUGUGAUGGCGUUGUGCGACUGAGAUGUUGAUUUGUUUUAAGUGUGGUUAUUACAUCUGAGCAAGACAGAAAACAAUAUUUUGGCAUAUGGUUUUUCUUUUGUGAAACUGGAGUAGUUCCUGACCAUGGUCGGGAUUGUAACUCUUAUUUUUGUGAUGUGGUGAAGUCUGUUGGAUCUUUCCUGGGGUCUUAAGAACAUAAGAAAGAAGGAACACUGCAACAGGCCUACUGACCCAUGCGGAGCAGGUCCAUGUCCCCCCCCAGAUUAGCCCAAUGACCCACCCAGUCUGGUCACCUCCACUCAAGGAAGGAGCACGGUACCAGACCCAGCAGCACAAGCUAGUCAGGUCCAACUCACACUCACCCACACCCACUCAUGUAUUUAUCUAACCUAUUUUUAAAACUAUACAACGUUUUAGCCUCAACAACUGUACUCGGGAGUUUGUUCCACUCAUCCACAAGUGCUUUCCUAUAUCCUUCCUGAAUCUGAAUUUUUCCAACUUGAAACCAUUGCUGUGAGUCCUGUCUUGGCUGGAAAUUUUCAGCACGCUACUUACAUCCCCUUUAUUUAUUCCUGUUUUCCAUUUAUACACCUCGAUCAUAUCCCCCCUAAUUCUAUGCCUUUCUAGAGAGUGCAGAUUCAGGGCCCUCAUUCUAUCCUCAUAGGGAAGAUUUCUGAUACAUGGGAUCAUCUUUGUCAUCCUCCUCUGUACGUUUUUCAGAGCAUUUGUAUCCAUUCUGUAAUACGGUGACCAGAACUGAGCAGCAUAGUCUAAAUGAGGCCUAACCAAGGAUAUAAAGAGUUGAAGAAAAACCUGAGGACUUCUAUUAUUUAUGCUUCUAGAUAUGAAGCAAAGAAUUCUGUUAGCUUUAUUGCGAACACUAAUGCACUGUUGUCUUGGUUUUAGAUUACUGCUAACCAGAACUCCUAAAUCCUUUUCGCAAACAGUAGUAUUAAGAUCUACAUUAUUUAGUUUAUAUGUGGCAUGGUUAUUUAACUGUCCAACAUUUAUAACUUUGCAUUUGUCAAUAUUAAACUGCAUCUGCCACUUCUCCGACCAUUGCAUCCUGGAGUGCUCUAGUGUCCUCAUUAGAAUGAAUUGGACGGCCUAUUUUGGUGUCAUCAGCAAAUUUGCUUAUGUCGCUAUUUAUUCCCUCAUCUAUGUCGUUUAUGUAAAUUGUGAACAACAACGGGCCCGACACUGACCCUGAGGAACACCGCUUUUGACGUGCCUCCAUUCUGAUUUCUCCCCAUUUAUGCUGCCUAUUUGUCAGCCAUGCCUCUACCCAGGAAAUGAAUGUUCUGUAUUAGAGGGAUGAAUCAACCGGAGUGUCAAGAAUGUCCACCACAUGCACUCGGCGCACCUGACAUCUUACUCCACCCUCAGCUUACACACGGCGGGUCCGGGAUGGAUCCCCGGCAUGGGGAAAUAUGCUGACCUUCUUCCCCUAGCAGCAAGUCUACAGUUUUGCCUGCCUUGAAGGGGGCCAUUAGUGUACAGCAAUAUUCCAGCCUAGAGAGAACAAGUGAUUUGAAGAGAAUCAUCAUGGACUUUGCAUCCCUAGUUUUGAAGGUUUUAAAGGUGAAUGAGAGUUGUUUGAGUCCCCGAGUAGAGACUUGUUUUCUUGAAGUAAAAUAUAAGUAUUAUCUUGCAGAUUUGGAGGAAAGAAGUGAUGGCGCCUGGAACAAUGAUUUAAUAUUCCUGUGGAAAUUUGAGGGUCUGCAUUGAUGGCAGCAGCAACCUUGAGAAUGGCAGGCGAGUACUGUCACUCAGUUUAUGUAAUUCUUGUAUAAACUGCCAUUGAUGGCAGCAGCAACCUUGAGAAUGGCAGGCGAG